This is a long non-coding RNA of Harpia harpyja (harpy eagle), 2375 nucleotides long. RefSeq lists it as uncharacterized. Lineage: Eukaryota; Metazoa; Chordata; Aves; Accipitriformes; Accipitridae. The transcript has 2 exons. The record is from RefSeq and is a predicted model, not a curated record.
UCCACCCCUCCCCCUGCCCCUAGCCGCCCCCAUGUUCUGGACACCAUCCCCCCCAUCUCCAUGGGAGCCACCGGCUCACAGAGAGUCAGUAUCCUGUGGCCAUACCACCAGCUGGCAGCCAUGGGCCACCAUGCUUCUCUCUGCCAUCGCCGCCAGCAUCUGACCGACGGUGACAAGGACAUGACGGUGAGGUGGCUGGGAUGGCAGUAGGGUGGACGAGGGCAGGUGGGGGGUGAGGCUUGCUGUGGGGCCACCCACCAUCACCUCACCCCCAUCCCCUCCCCGCAGCCCAAGUGAACCCACAGCAGCCUGAAGGAUGCUACUGCACAUCAUUUCCUUCCUGACGCUGCCCAACCUGCUGAGACUGGGCCAGACCUGCCGCUACCUCCAUGAGGUGUGUGACAGCGAGGCCACCUAGCGCCCCCUCUGCACCCCUCUCCCCCCUGCCGCUGCCAGCGCCCGGCCCUGCAAGAGGGUCACCAUCGUCAACCAUGAGUCCCUGCCAUUGCCAAGGGAGAGGGGGGGGUGGCACUUUGUCCCUCAGCCUCAUUUUUAGAGUCCAAAGCUUUGAUUCUAAGGUUGAAAGCCUUCCUUUUAGGUCCCAAAGACUCAUUUUUUGGGUACAAACCCUCAUUUGAGUUCCAACCCCUCCUUUUAAGGUUCAAAGACUCAUUUUAAGGGCCCAGAGUGUCCUUUUUAAGGCCAAAGUCUGCUUUUGAAGGUCCAAAUCUUCGGUUUUAGAGGCCAAGGCCUUAUUUAUAGGGUCCAAAGGCUCAUUUUUAGCUUCCAAAGCCUCCAUUUCAGGGACCAAAGCCUCAUUUUUAAGACUCAGUAUGCAAUUUCAAUGGCCCAAAGCCUCAUUUGGAGCCUCCAAACACCCAUUUUUAGGGUGCAGAGCCUCAGUGUUUGGUACUGAAGCAUCAUUUUGGGGCACAAAACCUAAUCUCGGGGUUCAAAGCCUCAAUUCCAUUUCCAAAGGCCUAUUUUUAAGGCCUAAAACCAAGGAUUUUGACCCUAAAACAGGGCUUUGGUCCCUACAGAUGGGUCUUUGAACGCUCAAUAUAUGCCUUGGACGUGAAGCACAUGAGGCUUAGAGCCUUAAUUGAGGAGUUUGUACCCUAAAAUGAGGGUUGGGACCCUACAAUUGAAGUCUUUCAACCCUAGAAAGCUUUGGACCCUAAAAAUGAGGCUUUGGGACCUAAGCCUGAGGCUUUGAGCCCUAAAAGUGGGCUUUGGACCCUCCAAAUGAGGGUUUAGACACUCCAGAUGCAGCUUGGACCCUAAAAAUGCCUGUCUGGAUCCUAAAAAAAGAGGCUUUGGUCCCUGAAAAUGACACUAUGCAAACUAACACUGAGCCUUUGCACCCUAAAAAUGAGGGUUUGGGGGCCUAAAAUGAGGCUUUGGAAGGCAAAACUAAGACUUUUGGAAAGUAAAAAUGAGGCUUUGGACCCUAGAAAUUCGGUUUUGGACUCUACAAAUGAAGCUUUGGUCCUUCCAAAUCAGACUUUGGGGCUGAAAAAUAAUACUCUGGGGCCUUAAAAUGAGUCUUUGAACCUUAAAAACAGACCUUGGAACUAAUAAAUUAGUUUUUGUACUCCAUAUAUGUGGGUCUGGACCUUAAAAAUGACUGUGUGCACCCCCAAAAGUAGGCUUUGGUCUUUUAAAUUUAUGCUUUUUGCCCUAACAUUGAGACUUACGUUAUAAAAAUAAGGGUUUACACUUGAAAAACUCAGGGUUGAAUUUUAAAAAUGAUGCUUUGUGCUUUGAAAAUGAUCAUUUCAAAGGCAGGCUGUCCCCCUGCAGCCCAUGGAGGUCCACGGUGGAGCAGAUAUCCACCUGCAGCCCGUGGAGGACCCCAUGCCAGAGCAGGUGGGUGCCUGAAGGAGGCUGUGACCCCAGGGGAAGCCCACACCGGAGCAGGUUUGCUGGCAGGACUUGUGACCCCACGGGGGACCCUCGCUGCAGCAGUCUGUGCCUGAAGGACUGCACGCUGUGGAAGGGACCCACACUGGAGCAGUUUGUGAAGAACUGCAGCCCGUGGAAAGGACCCACGUUGGAGAAGUUCAUGGAGGACUGUCUCCCGUGGAAGGGACCCCAUGCUGGAGCAGGGGAAGAGUGAGGAGUCCUCCCCCGGAGAAGGAAGGAGCAGCAGAGACUACUGUGUGAUGAACUGACCCCAACCCUCAUUCCCCAUCCCCCUGUGCCGCUGGGGGGGAGGAAGGAGAGAAUUCAGGAGUGAAUCUGUGCCUGGGAAGAAGGGAAGGGUGGGGGGAAGGUGUUUUUAAGAUUUGGUUUUAUUUCUCAUUACCCUAUUCUGAUCUGGUUGGCAAUAAAUUAAUUUCCCCAGGUUGAGUCCGUUUUGCCCGUGACAGUAA